Molecule: ribosomal RNA, 426 nt
Filed under: uncultured Paenibacillus sp.
Lineage: Bacteria; Bacillati; Bacillota; Bacilli; Caryophanales; Paenibacillaceae
Description: bacterial SSU rRNA
Rfam family: Bacterial small subunit ribosomal RNA
Source: RNAcentral
UAGGGAAUCUUCGGCAAUGGACGCAAGUCUGACCGAGCAACGCCGCGUGAGUGAGGAAGGCCUUCGGGUCGUAAAGCUCUGUUGCCAGGGAAGAACGCUUGGGAGAGUAACUGCUCUCAAGGUGACGGUACCUGAGAAGAAAGCCCCGGCUAACUACGUGCCAGCAGCCGCGGUAAUACGUAGGGGGCAAGCGUUGUCCGGAAUUAUUGGGCGUAAAGCGCGCGCAGGCGGCUAUUUAAGUCUCAUGUUUAAACCCAAGGCUCAACCUUGGAUCGCAUGGGAAACUGGGUGGCUUGAGUACAGAAGAGGAGAGCGGAAUUCCACGUGUAGCGGUGAAAUGCGUAGAGAUGUGGAGGAACACCAGUGGCGAAGGCGGCUCUCUGGUCUGAAACUGACGCUGAGGCGCGAAAGCGUGGGGAGCAAACA